This 80-nucleotide transfer RNA is filed under the name Candidatus Phytoplasma ziziphi. Its description in RNAcentral is "tRNA-Pro". The record is from RNAcentral. RNAcentral also lists the same sequence under 1 other name. Lineage: Bacteria; Bacillati; Mycoplasmatota; Mollicutes; Acholeplasmatales; Acholeplasmataceae.
UAGAAAGUAGCUAAAUUUUAGUAUGGUGUUUGUAGUUUGGAACCAAGAGGUCAUGGGUUUAAAUCCUGCCUUUCUGACCA